AAGGGCACCACAAGAACGCGUGGAGCAUGUGGCUUAAUUUGACUCAACGCGGGAAAUCUUACCGGGUCCGGACACACUGAGGAUUGACAGGCAAUAUUAUUUAAAUGAACUUCGGUUUGUUUUUAUAUGUAAAUAUGCUAGUCCUUUCAUGAUUAUGUGAUAGGUGGUGCAUGGCCGUUCUUAGUUCGUGGAGUGAUCUGUCUGCUUAAUUGCGUUUCACUAAGAGCUUAUAUAUAAACGUAUGUUUGCUCUCAUAUUUGACCCCCGUUUGAUUUUUCUUCUUCGGAGGAUUUCAUUGAACGUGUGUGUUGUCAUUUGUGUUUCAAGCAUCAUACAAUUAAGCUCUGAAAGCAACGAACGUGACCGCAACCCCUUGUUGCCUCUAAUUUAAUUUUUUUUUUCCUUCGGGAAGAGAGAAUGCAAAAGAGGCUUUAAAACUAGAGGGACCGCUGUAACUUUUUUAAACCAGAGGAAGGUUGCGGCAAUAACAGGUCUGUGAUGCCCUUAGAUGUUCCGGGCUGCACACGUGCUACAAUGAUUGUUGCAGUGAGCAUCUCAAAUAAACACCGUGGUCAAGCUAAUUUGGUGUACUUUGAUUGUUUGAUGGUCGAUUUCGGUUGAUCGUUGGACUUUCUUUGUUAUCCUUAUUCAGUCAGACUCGGUUAAGCCUGCUUCGAAAGUAAGUAGGUAAUCAAUCCGAAGUAACGAUUUCCCAACUUUAGCACACCUAUAUGCGGCGUUUAUACCCUGGCAUUUGCUUGUCAAGUGUUUUUGUGUGUAUAGAUGUUUUCUGCAUGUGCUUUUGUCAAUUCAAGGUGGGGACAAACCAUUGUUAAUUGUUGGUUUCGGUCUUAACUAGGAAUGCCUUGUACGGGUCUUUGGUUCAACAAACCACCCGGAAUAUGUCCCUGCCCUUUGUACACACCGCCCGUCGCUCUUACCGAUGGACUUAUCUGUGAGUUUGAGGGACUGGAUAUUUAACUUUCGAGUUAAUCUUCUAUGGAAACUUAAACGAACAGGUUGGUCUAAAGGAAAGAGAAGUCGAACAAGGCA
Molecule: ribosomal RNA, 1053 nt
Filed under: Trochammina inflata
Lineage: Eukaryota; Foraminifera; Textulariida; Trochamminidae
Description: SSU rRNA
Rfam family: Eukaryotic small subunit ribosomal RNA
Source: RNAcentral